GGGGGUGGAGCUCAGCAGUAGAGUGCUUUAUUAGUAAGCACAAGGCCCUAGGUUCAAUCCCUAGCACCACCA
Molecule: transfer RNA, 72 nt
Filed under: Heterocephalus glaber (naked mole-rat)
Lineage: Eukaryota; Metazoa; Chordata; Mammalia; Rodentia; Bathyergidae
Rfam family: tRNA
About the family: Transfer RNA (tRNA) molecules are approximately 80 nucleotides in length. Their secondary structure includes four short double-helical elements and three loops (D, anti-codon, and T loops). Further hydrogen bonds mediate the characteristic L-shaped molecular structure. tRNAs have two regions of fundamental functional importance: the anti-codon, which is responsible for specific mRNA codon recognition, and the 3' end, to which the tRNAs corresponding amino acid is attached (by aminoacyl-tRNA synthetases). tRNAs cope with the degeneracy of the genetic code in two manners: having more than one tRNA (with a specific anti-codon) for a particular amino acid; and 'wobble' base-pairing, i.e. permitting non-standard base-pairing at the 3rd anti-codon position.
Source: Rfam by way of RNAcentral